This 253-nucleotide ribosomal RNA is filed under the name uncultured bacterium. Its description in RNAcentral is "partial 16S ribosomal RNA". It matches the Rfam family "Bacterial small subunit ribosomal RNA", at positions 524 to 776 of the family's 1533-position model. The record is from RNAcentral.
UACGUAGGUGGCAAGCGUUGUCCGGAUUUAUUGGGUUUAAAGGGUGCGUAGGCGGCUUUGUAAGUCAGUGGUGAAAUAUGGCAGCUCAACUGUCAGGGUGCCAUUGAUACUGCGGAGCUUGAGUACAGAUGAGGUAGGCGGAAUUGACGGUGUAGCGGUGAAAUGCUUAGAUAUCGUCAAGAACACCGAUAGCGAAGGCAGCUUACUAGGCUGUAACUGACGCUGAGGCACGAAAGUGUGGGGAGCGAUCCGG